CCUACGGGCGGCAGCAGUGGGGAAUAUUGGGCAAUGGGCGCAAGCCUGACCCAGCAACGCCGCGUGAAGGAAGAAGGCUUUCGGGUUGUAAACUUCUUUUAAGAGGGAAGAGCAGAAGACGGUACCUCUUGAAUAAGCCACGGCUAACUACGUGCCAGCAGCCGCGGUAAUACGUAGGUGGCAAGCGUUGUCCGGAUUUACUGGGGGUAAAGGGCGUGUAGCCGGGCUGAUAAGUCAGCUGUGAAAGCCGGGGGCUCAACCCCCGAACUGCAUUUGAAACUGUUGGUCUUGAGUAGCGGAGAGGCAUGCGGAAUUCCUAGUGUAGCGGUGAAAUGCGUAGAUAUUAGGAGGAACACCAGUGGCGAAGGCGGCCUGCUGGACGACAACUGACGGUGAGGCGCGAAAGCGUGGGUAGCAAACAGGAUUAGAUACCCCAGUAGUC
This 442-nucleotide ribosomal RNA is filed under the name uncultured bacterium. Its description in RNAcentral is "partial 16S ribosomal RNA". It matches the Rfam family "Bacterial small subunit ribosomal RNA", at positions 338 to 795 of the family's 1533-position model. The record is from RNAcentral.